GGGGUAUUCAUUAAGAGUGAGUUACAAUAAAAUCUGGUUAAAAUGUGACAUUUGGUCUUUUAUCAUGUCCUUCACUGACAGUUACUCAAUUACCCUCAAUUUGUGUCAUGUCCUGUAUGUCAUGUGUAGAAUUGUAGUGAAUGUUCUGCAAAGGUUAUAAAACAAAUCACUACAAUCACUCUAACCAACUGUAUGGCAAAAUGGAAUAAACAAAUGACAAAUUAUGUUCUCUUUGUGUAAGUAUAUAAAUGUGGAUAAUUGCAGAAAACAUGUUGUAAAACUAGAUGUUGUGCAACCAUGAAAAGAGGGUUUCAGUGGUCUCAGCGACACACAUAAUACAUCAUAUUGGUUUAAACUCACACUUGUAUUCUGUGAGUGUUGCUCAGUAAGAUACCCCAUAUCAGGGGUGCACUGUCUAUAGUUUAGUCUUUACAGCCCCAAUACUGUAUGUUCAGUAAUUAUAUUUUACAUUAUUUACUAACAUUGCUGAAUAUUAUCUAUUCAAAGUGUGUUCUGUUUCAAAUGUUAAUCUUUAUUCCAUUUUCAUUACAUUAAAUGUUGGACUUUUAUAUUUAAGACUUAACUAGGAGACACUAGGAAUCCACUUUUUUGGUUUACUCCUAUUGCAGGUAACUUCUAUAACUGAACCUCUUAGAUUUCACAUCUACCACAAUGUCUGUAUAAAAUAUGCAUGAAGCAAACACUAGAGUAAACAUUUCUAUGUAGAAACUUUGACCAUAUAAUGAAUAGAAAAAUAUUUUUUGGGGGAAAAACAACAAUCCCAAAAUUCCAAUCUGAAUAUAGGUGCUAGAUAGAGCAUUUAUCUAUAGACCAUCUACAAAUGUACUAAAGACUUCCAGGUUGUGAAUCCCUUGUGGUGUCUGUGGUUGUCUAUGCAAAUUGAGCUGCUCAUCUACUCCAGGCUCCAUAAUCAAAGUUACAUUUCAUGUGCACUCUGAGCUAGUCCUCAUUGUCCCAAAUCCACACCCUGAUGCCACUAAUUUGCACAUACAUUUUAUACAGUACUGAAAAUAUUUUGGGUGUUUUAUUCUGUUGAGGUGGGGGGGCGACACCCUAAACCAGGGCCGCCUUAAUGCACGGGCUUACCGGGGCUUAAGCCCAGGGGCCUAUGAAGACGAGGGGCCUAUCAUGAGCCAAUAAAAAAUCACAUAGUUUUGUAAUUUGUCAAAUUUUCUGUCGAUCACUCGAUAUUCAUGAUUCUGGCUGCAGAUAUAUCACAUUUUCACAUGACCACCGACGCUACGUUACCAUACAUUAGCAUUAGGCCGUUGUCAUGGUACCGUAUAAUGCUAGUGAGAAGCUUGUGGCUAGCUAGGUCAAAAUUCCAGAAAGGAAAAAGUUUGAGAGCAGUGCUCAAAAACAAAAAAUAUUACGGCAAAAAGAAAACAGUGAGAAAGAAUUGUUAAAACACAUUCCAAACCUAACAGGUUUUUUUAAACCUGCUAAAAAUUAAGAGCAGGUGAACUCGUUAAAGAGGGGAGCGCUGAAAAUUAGUGGAGAGGACAACGAGCAGACAGGAGGACCGGUAAUUUUACUGGGAGAAGCUGAAGAGGAUGAGGACUGGCUGAGCAGGAGAAGAGGAAUCGGUGGCGCGGGUAGAUCCAGGCGAAGGGGAUCACAGUGGAGGAGACAUGCGGGCAGGAUCAGGACGGGACGAGUCGGAUGAUGUCGACCUGUAUAACACUGACCCGGGUCUCUGGGGCCAAAAUAAUACUGACGAACAGGUGUGUUUUUACUGGGGGAAAAUGGGACCGGAAUUGUGCCAGAACAGACAAGCUGACCUCUCUGCUUCAGAACACCAAAACAAACACCAGAGAAGAUUCUUCUCAAAGACACAUUCCAAGCGCAAGCUUGGUAAUGGAGAGUAUCUGCCCAGGGAGUGGCUAUGCUGCUCACCUUCCCAAGGUAGAGUGUUUUGCUUAUUAUUUGUUCAUAAUAAUUCUGUACUGUUGUGCUUUGUUGUUUCAGAACCACAUACACAUAGAUAAACAGACUAAACCAUAGACCUGGACUCUAUCUCCUUAUUGCCACACUUCUACCUGAAUAUAUUGUCCAACCCCACACAUAUAUUCUACACUGACUAGGUAGGCUCAAGUGAUUUGGUCAUCUCAUAUAGGGACAAGUCACCGUUGUAUCCCCCUAAAAAAACUAAUACCAUUUUGCGCUGUAUUGACAAGCGUGGAUUUUACACAUUUUAUUAUUUAUAGUGUGAGUUGGGGGGGCUUACAAAAACUUCUUAGCCCCGGGGCCUAAUGACAGGUUAAGGCGGGCCUGCCCUAAACACACACACACACAUUACGAGUUACUUGUCAUAACAAGAAUUCACAGAACUCUUUUUACUCAGCUUGGUAACAUUUAUUUGCCAAAAACAAGAAUGGAAAAGCAGCUAGAUCCCUCAGUGCAACGCGGACGUCAAUUACUGUUGUCGUCGCUGUUGGGAGCCCUGGGGUGGAUGCUGAGCAGGGCCCGGUUUCCCGUUAGCAUAGCACUUACGAUGGUUUAAUGAUGCACAUAGCUUUAAGUGGGACUUUGUUACGACAGACUUACGCCUGUUUCCCAAACCACCGUUUAAGUCACUCUUUAUAUAGUGCAUCGUGCACUAUAUAUUACGUUUGGAAUGGAAUUAGACCAUCUUUGGGGCUUGAAAUGGAAUUAUGCCAUGAAUACGUUUUGAAAUAUAGCCUAUUGCAUUUCGAUAGAGCUUGCUCACUUAUCAGAAUCAUUUUAUAUAGCUGCUGAUGUAUUCAACUACUACAAGACAUUUUUAAACUCGAAGCAGUAGAGAAAUUUAUGGUGGACGAAACUGUGAUUUGCAACCAAUGGGGGUUGACGUCAGCCAAUCAAAAUCAUAUCUCCGGAAAUUGAUCACGUGACAUCCAAUUAUCAAUUCCUCCAGUAGCUAUAAAGAAUAUAAGUCACACACCAAUCAACACAUGAUUGGUUAACUGGGAAUAUAAAGCAUAGUGAGAAAAAUCUAUUCUAAUUGUUUGGAAUACAAAUGAAACGCAAGAGAAAACAUGUUUGCAUUCUGGUAGUGUUCUUCUUGAUGUGGUUGAGACACCAGCACCUAUCCAUCAAAUAAUAGUAGUAGUACCAUGCAGGCUUUCAGACUCGUGAACGGUUAAUUUUGAACACUUUUUCUUAAUUAGCCUAUUUCUUGUUUUACGUACGUUUCUCUUUAUCCUCAGCUGACCAAUUGCAUUCAGUUACAUUUACACCCAGUCACGUACUUAUCUAAUUUGUCUAAAUGAAUGUGUCUAAAUCAAAACUGUUUUGAUAUGUUUCAUUCGUUCUAUUGCCUUGAUAUUAACUGUUUGCGAGCAUUCCUCUCAUGUUGAGGGAGGCACAGUUUCACAAAAACAGUAAAGUGCCUGUUAAGAUCGUCCAAGAUGGACUAACUUAAUUAGGGAGCGAAGUUACGUGACACUUAGGUAACGAUGCUUUUGGGAAACACACUGAUAAAAUAACGAGGCACUAACAUGCAUCUUAGUGCUUUAGAAAACCGGGCCUAGGGCAGAGAGGAUCUGAGUGAUGCUGAGCUGGAUGGAAGCUGGGCUGGACCUCAUUGGAGCAUCCUGAAUGACCUGGGGAAGAGCAUCUGGCUCUAGUGGGCACAGCUGACAGGAGAGAAACCCCAUCCAUUAGCCAGCUGACUUUUAACUAACUUUAGAUCUUAAUAAUAAUGGAGUUGGUGACUACGACAUGAUCAUCCAACGAAUUAUGACAUGUCAAAUUAGAAUAUGUCGAUGUGUUGUAUGUGUUGAUUUUCUUGAAUUAAGGAGCCCAAUAAGUGGUAAACUGCUCAUUUUUAUCACUGCUGUGCUGAUCAGACUUUUAUCACGGGUGUCUAAUCAGCACAGUGAUGAUUUACCACGACCUCCAGAGUAUCAUUUUGACGUCUACAUCACCCUAAGGAAUCUAGCCUUUACUGCAAGAACGGUUACAUUGGUUAUUUAUACCAUACACAUAGAGUGUAUCUGGAAGCACUAAGAACAAUGUGUAAUUAAUUCAUGUCUAAGAUACUGUAGUUCCACCCCAUCCACAUCCAGUGUGGGAAAUCAUCCUCCCAGCAGGGAUGAUAAGAGGUUUUCGGUGGAGCUAAAAGACUGAGAGAAAGAGAAAUAAAGAGUCAUUAGGCAGUUCCGAAAUCAAUAUAUAAACCAUUCAAAAAGCAGUCAGACCUUUUCACUUCCACAAUUUGUUAUGGUAUGGCUUUGUUGUAAAGUGGAAUAAAUAUAUUUUUUCCUCAUUAAUCAACUCACAAUACCCCAUAAAGACAAUGCAAAAACC
Molecule: long non-coding RNA, 4311 nt
Organism: Esox lucius (northern pike)
Lineage: Eukaryota; Metazoa; Chordata; Actinopteri; Esociformes; Esocidae
Source: Ensembl